UUUUUUUUAACAAUAUAUCCAAAUGAGAGUUACAAAUUUUUUUAAAAAAGUAAAGGUAUAUGAUCAGAGGCAUACCUUUGUAUAUUAGAAAAAUUAUGGAACAUAUACAUUGCUAACUAAGAAUCUGUCCAAUCUAGCUUUUAUGUGAUGAAAAUAUCCCCAAUGUAGCUCAAAUCAUUAAAGCCACGCCGCUGGAUAGUGUCUUUGAACUGGUUAGUAAUACUACUAUCAAUAGGAUUACCUCCAUUUUUUUUCCAGCUUGACACAAAACCAAAUUGAAAUCAACAAAAACUAACCACCUAUUUCUAGAAUUAUCGCUGUACAGCUGACUAAAAAGAUUACAAGUCAGAUGCUUUUUAUUAUCUUGCAAGUAACCACACAAGCAUACCCCUGUUGUCUUUCACUCCUUUGAAUCAUCGCCAGAGGUUUGGGCAGGCUGAAAACAUUGACGAAGAGGUUCCUUUCAAGGCUGCUCAUCUGGUUGAAUCAUUGCAUUAUUACUCCUACAAAAUGCACAAUUCACACAUAAAUAAUAAAUAACAAAAUAAAACAAGAAAGGGAGAAUAAGAACAAUGACUCAAGCAAGUAAUUGAAAAAGGCACAUUGUCUAAGAACACAAAACAAAGAGAAAUAAAUAAACAAUGCAUAAUAAUUAGAAUCAAGCUAAGAAUUAGAGAUAGAAUUAGAGAUGUUAGUCACCGAGUCACAAGAUUCAGAUUCCUCGUAUUAACCCUCACAUUAGCAAAUUAAAAAGGGAAAAAUUAAGCCUAAAUUAGAAACAGUAAAAAAUUUAUCCAUGGGCAUCAUGAAAUUAAGCCAUUUUGCUUUUGACAAACGAAAUAAUAGAAUUGAAUCAAACAACAUAGGAAAUCAAGGGUUCAAGCUUCCCCCAAUUGAAUCAAACAACUCAGGAAAUAAAAGGUUUAAGUUUCCCCCAAUUUUUUUUAUUUCUAGGGUUCAUGCAACAUAGAAUAAUUCCAUACCAACUUUGAAUUGAACCAAAUGAUAAUUUUAAAGAAAAUAAACAAACAAUAAAACAAACAAAUUGAACUCCUGAAGUAAAAGAAUCAAAAUUAAAGGGAACAAAGAAGUGAACUGAAAAAACAUAGAACAAACAAACAAACCUGAAAGUGACUGAGAUCUGAGAGAGUAAGAUAGCAGAUGCCUAGCGCCUCCACCGCGCCAGAGACUGAGACUCAAGAGCCUCAUAGCAUGGCCGUCGCCGAAGUUGAAGAGCCCAGUGAAGGGGUGCUAGAGAGAGUUCGCGAGAGACGGGAGGUGAAUGGAGAGGGGGUACCAGAGAAGGACAAAGCAUGUAAAAAACAAUUGUAUCAAGGGCAUUAUAGU
Molecule: long non-coding RNA, 1347 nt
Filed under: Medicago truncatula (barrel medic)
Lineage: Eukaryota; Viridiplantae; Streptophyta; Magnoliopsida; Fabales; Fabaceae
Description: long non-coding RNA (MTRU_LNC005193)
Source: RNAcentral